Molecule: long non-coding RNA, 767 nt
Filed under: Homo sapiens (human)
Lineage: Eukaryota; Metazoa; Chordata; Mammalia; Primates; Hominidae
Description: palmitic acid regulated anti-inflammatory lncRNA
Source: RNAcentral
AGUAAUUUUGUCGCUAGUUACUGUAUUACUGGAAAAUGUAUUCCUAGGCUUUAAGAUUUGGGAAGCGUGUGAGUCUAACUUCUCAAACAGAAUUUGACAAGGACGUAGCAGUGUUUUAAAAAGUCAGGGAAAGGAAAGAGGUGUGUUCAGCAUUCCUGCCCCAUCUUAACAUAUUCUUUUUCUCGUCUUAACAGUGGUAAUAUUUUAUGUUAUUUUGGUUUGAUUUUUGUUUGUGGCAUAUGGCUCUGCUGUCCUGUGACUCUAAGUAGAAGAGAAAAUAGUGCCAAUAAUUCUUCAUGGAGAUGCACCUCUCUCAAGUCUUGAACAAUGUUUGAGGAAAAGUGCUUUCAGCUGGGCUGAUGAGAACACCUUGGCACUCUUUCCUGCAAUGGGCACUGAUUGAGGGUCUUCCUGGUGUGGCAUCAUCAAAUCCCUGUUGCUCAAACCCACUAAUUAGCUCAUUCUUAUCUACAAGUAGCAGGGGCCCUAAAGCUCUCUGAGAAGAUCUCAUACUGUGUCUCCUACAUUUCAUCUUCUAUAAUCUCUUAUUCUUAGAGACAGAAAGAUGGUUAAAAGACAUCACUUCAUUUCUUUCUCUGGAUUUGGAAAGAGUUAUAUAUUGGGAUUAUGCUGUUAGUUUACACUUGCAUUGUUUAAAUUAGAGGAAAGGUUAUUUUGUGCAGAACAAAUAAAAAUUACUCUUUAACUACCUUUCAGAAUAUCCCAACUUUUAACAUAAGCUGUUUUGUAAAGGCUGGUUGUAGUGA